This 524-nucleotide ribosomal RNA is filed under the name uncultured bacterium. Its description in RNAcentral is "partial 16S ribosomal RNA". It matches the Rfam family "Bacterial small subunit ribosomal RNA", at positions 28 to 523 of the family's 1533-position model. The record is from RNAcentral.
GACGAACGCUGGCGGCGUGCCUAAUACGUGCAAGUCGAGCGCAGGAAAUCAUCCGAACCCUUCGGGGGGACGUUGAUGGAAUGAGCGGCGGACGGGUGAGUAACACGUAAAGAACCUGCCCUCAGGUCUGGGAUAACCACGAGAAAUCGGGGCUAAUACCGGAUGGGUCAUCGGACCGCAUGGUCCGAGGAUGAAAGGCGCUUCGGCGUCGCCUGGGGAUGGCUUUGCGGUGCAUUAGGUAGUUGGUGGGGUAAUGGCCCACCAAGGCGACGAUGCAUAGCCGACCUGAGAGGGUGAUCGGCCACACUGGGACUGAGACACGGCCCAGACUCCUACGGGAGGCAGCAGUAGGGAAUCUUCCACAAUGGACGAAAGUCUGAUGGAGCAACGCCGCGUGAACGAUGAAGGCCUUCGGGUCGUAAAGUUCUGUUGUAAGGGAAGAACAAGUGCCGCAGGCAAUGGCGGCACCUUGACGGUACCUUGCGAGAAAGCCACGGCUAACUACGUGCCAGCAGCCGCCGUAA